UUCAACAAGAAACUUAAACAAGAAAUCAUGUUGAUCAUCAACCAAAAUUAUGCAAAUUUCAAUAUUUCAAAUCAUCUAGAGAUAACAAGAUAUUGAAUAACACCAAAGUUCAUCAACAACAUAUCAUUCAUGAAAUCAUGCUAUAUCACGGUACUAGAAUUUCAUAAUCAAAAUUCCAUUUUAACUUAAUCAUAAACUUUAUAUAAUAUGGAUUUCAUGAACUUCCAAAUAAUCCAAAUAUGAAGGAGGCUCUGAUACCAAUUGUUGGAUUAUAUAUCUACAUAAAAAACUUUAGCCUUCAUAUCGAAUUACUUGGAAUAACAACAUAAGCGGAAUCGUACCUGAAUCCAUAAAUGGAAAUCUUUAGUCCUUCUUGAAGAUUGUCCAAGGUGUGCCUUUGAGAAGCUCCUUGAUCCUUCCUUUAAGAUUGUCUUGAAGUUUUUGCUUUCACA
Molecule: long non-coding RNA, 452 nt
Filed under: Nicotiana benthamiana
Lineage: Eukaryota; Viridiplantae; Streptophyta; Magnoliopsida; Solanales; Solanaceae
Description: long non-coding RNA (NBEN_LNC014942)
Source: RNAcentral